GGCGGACGGGUGAGUAAUGCAUCGCUAAUGUACCCCUGGGUCUGGGAUAGCCGGCCGAAAGGCCGGGUAAUACCAGAUGACAUGUUCACCGGGCAUCCGGAGGACCUCAAAGGCGCAAGCCGCCGAGGGAGCAGGCGAUGUCGUAUCAGCUAGUUGGCGGGGUAACGGCCCACCAAGGCGACGACGCGUAGCUGGUCUGAGAGGACGGCCAGCCACAUCGGGACUGAGACACUGCCCGGACUCCUACGGGGGGCUGCAGUAACGAAUCUUCCGCAAUGCACGAAAGUGUGACGGAGCGACGCCGCGUGUGGGACGAAGUCCUUCGGGAUGUAAACCACUGUCAGGGGUAGGAAAGUUCUGAUCCACCCCAGAGGAAGGCACGGCUAACUCUGUGCCAGCAGCCGCGGUAAGACAGAGGUGCCGAGCGUUAGGCGGAAUCAUUGGGCUUAAAGCGCGUGUAGGCGGGCCGUUAAGUGCCCCGUGAAAUCCCACGGCUCAACCGUGGAACCGCGGGGCAUACUGGCGGCCUUGAGCGACCCAGGGGCGAGCGGAACAAGUGGUGGAGCGGUGAAAUGCGUAGAUAUCACUUGGAACGCCGACGGUGAAAACAGCUCGCUGGGGGUCUGCUGACGCUGAGACGCGAAAGCCAGGGGAGCGAACGGGAUUAGAUACCCCGGUAGUCC
RNAcentral lists this ribosomal RNA (683 nucleotides) under uncultured bacterium. Its description in RNAcentral is "bacterial SSU rRNA". It matches the Rfam family "Bacterial small subunit ribosomal RNA", at positions 97 to 796 of the family's 1533-position model. The record is from RNAcentral.